CCUCGUCUAUAUAAAUUGCACCCUAAGUCUCUGGUUUUUACACCAAUAUUCAAUUAAGUCCUUGACUUUUACAAUUAUACAAUUUAGUCCGUUUUGUCCACAGAGUCGCCAAUUACACUUUUAGACCUAACAUUCACAAAUUGCAAAAAUAAAAAAUUACAUCACGCACAGUGAAAUUGGAUUACUUUAUUGUUGUAUCUACAGUAUCGCAUCUUUGCCCUUUUUAUAAGAAGUUAGAUAUAUGAUAUAUGAUAUCACCAUUUAUUUUGAUCAUUUUUCUGUAUGUUGGAAUAAACCCAUUUGCAUUGGCAGCCAUUCCGUUGGCUAUCAAUAUGGUGCCACAAUUCAAUCAUAAAAGGACGUGGAAAACUUAGAAUUGUUUUUGGUCAUUUCACUUUGUUGCAAUUGUUUGCUAGAAAAUGUGGAGGGACCCUUGGAAUUGGAUGUCUAUGACUUUAAAGAAUUGUUGCCCUUGCCAUAUAUAAUGUUGAUCAGGUUCAAGGAUAUAUUUCAGAAGUUACAUGAAUAGAAGUGGAAGGAGCAAUUUGAAGAACAUUCAUUAUGGAUAACUUCAAAUUACUUUAUGCUGCAAGGAGUGUCAAGUAUAAAAGGUUGGAGUAACAAUUAUAAAUUCAAAGAGCUCAAGAACCCACAUUAUAGUUACAUCCACAAUUGAGUCCUGGUGCAAGAUAAUAUUAGCAAAUGGCUAUAGUUUCAAUUUGUUCUAAAAAUUAUCUAAUUUUAUACGGUGUAGCAAUCUUCCAUUAUAAACCAUAUGGACAAACACACUUUUUUCAUAGUUUUCUUAUUUUAAUCUAAAGUUUUCCCUCUAUAUUCGUGGCAUUUAAGAUACAUAAAAGGCAAAACUAAGUGAAUAUUUAUUAAUAUAUAUUUUUCCCUCAAUAUCCAUGAACAACAAACCUAUUAGAAUGUGAACUUUUGUUCUUUCAAAUUUUGAAAUUAGUACUUUAUUCAUUUUCUUGCAAUGAAUCCGCUCGGGAAUCCUCAUCAAAUUGCUUUGGUAUUUCUAAGACUAGCAAGAUCAACUUGGUAGACCAGGUCAAAUUUGAAAGAAUGUGCUUGAUGCUGCUGCUAAAGAGCAAGUGGGAAAAUACAUAAAGAAGUCCAUGUCACAAUUUGGGUAUGUGAAAUGAAUAUUUUUAAUGAGUCAUCCAAUGCAUCUUUUUUAUUCUCGUUAUUUUCAGCAUUUAUGGUUUUCUGAUGCUGUCCUUUUCCUUCCAUCUUUUGCACUUAAUGAUCCUUUACCAAAACCAAGAUGUGAUGCUAAAAUUAUCUUAAAUUUAAUUCUGCAAGUAUGUUCAUAGUUGCACAUGAAUAAACAAUUUUGAUAAUAUUUGCUAAUAGCUCUACAAUCAGGAGUGGCUCUUGUUAAAUAUCGUUGCGGAAAUAAGUCAUAAUGGGAAAUCUUAAGACGUUCCAUUUUUUCCUGUCUAACUCAUCUGCUAAGAGAAUCAUUUGGUGGCAAUGCUAAACUCUUCAUUAUCUGUGUCAUUGUUCCGGAUAACAAGUACUGGACUAUAUAAUUUUCCUUUCCAUAAAGUAUUAGAUGUACU
Olea europaea var. sylvestris is the source of this 1574-nucleotide long non-coding RNA. RefSeq lists it as uncharacterized. The record is from RefSeq and is a predicted model, not a curated record. The transcript is spliced from 4 exons. Lineage: Eukaryota; Viridiplantae; Streptophyta; Magnoliopsida; Lamiales; Oleaceae.